Molecule: long non-coding RNA, 408 nt
Organism: Cavia porcellus (domestic guinea pig)
Lineage: Eukaryota; Metazoa; Chordata; Mammalia; Rodentia; Caviidae
Exons: 3
Source: RefSeq, a predicted model, not a curated record
CAGAAAGACAGUGCCGUGGCUUGGGUCUCCUUACUGCGGUGAUGGAAGUCAGCUCUUUCCACAGGAAGGGGCGGGAUUAAGGACGAGGGCUGGCAGACAUCUCCGAGGGGCUGCAAUGUUUGGUUUUCCCGCCCAAGUCCUCCUGGAGGCCCGGGGACCGCAUGUGGCUGUGGGAGUCUUUGCAAAUGGGUGACAAGAAGAGAGGACCACAUUGCGGUGGAAAGCUGGGUAUUGGUGAGGUUCUCUUCAGUGACUUUUCAUCACAUAGUGCAGCUCCAGAGGUCUUCUCCUUCCUGGUGUCUUUAUCUGUGCUGUUGUAGCUGCCCUGGUGUCCUGAAUCAGUUCACAAUGUUUACCUUUCACGGUCAUUUUCGCUUUGGGGAAGAGCCAGAAGUCACAGGAUGCUCG